ACUCACUCCUCCUCCGCCUCCAGCGCCACCUCGUAUCUCCUCAUUCCCGACAUGUCCUGGGCUCCGAACGUCUCCUGGGGAGCGGCAUGAUUGAAUCAGGGAUUCCCUAGCCCCAGGUCCCCUUCUCCGUCAUUCUCAGGACGAGGCUGCCCAGUUCUCAGGCAGAAAAAUGUGAAAAGAGAGACUGGCCUAGCCUCCCAGCCUACAUCUUUCUCCCAUCCUGGAUGUUUCCUGCCCUUGAAUGUUGGACUCCAAGUUCUUCAGUUUUGGAACUCGGACUGUCUCUCCUUGCUCCUCAGCCUGCAGACGGCCUAUUGUGGGACCUUGUGAUCGUGUUGUUGUGGUGGUAUUACUACUACUCAGCAAGAUUCUGGUUUUACUUCUCAUCUUGGGAGUUACCAUCAAGACGUUAGGUAUGGCUGUGUGACCCACUUUGGCCAAUGAAAUGUGAACAGAAAUGGCAUAUGUCACUUGUGGACAAAAACAUUUAAGCAAGAAUUUCCCUUGCUGUCUUCCUUGACUGGAGCGACCAUGGAAGCCUGUGUUGAGAUGAAGAGGCUGCCAACAGAUCAAAACACUUGAAAACUUGAGCAGCCACAUGGACUACAACUGUGCUGGAGACUUGCCUGGACCCACAGCAGGCUUGGUAUGCAUGGGGAAUAGAAUUUUGUUGUAUUACACUCCUCAGAUUUGGAUGUCAUUUGUUAUUACAGCAUUACCUAGCCUAUUCUGACCAAUCAGGUGUGUUGGUGGUGGUUACCAGGUGUUAGAAAAUAGAGAUGUAAGAUUACAGUAAAACUGGAGGGGGAAAACAUGUCACCCCAAUAUCUUGGAUUUAGAAGCAGAUGUUGCUAUGGAAUGAAUUGUGUCCCCCCCCAAAUUCGUAUGUUUAGUCCUAACCCUAAAUGUGACUGUAUCUGAAGAUGGGGUCUUUAGGAGGUAAUUAAAGUUAAAUGAGGCCGGGUGUGGUGGCUCACACCUGUAAUCCCAGCCCUCUGGGAGACCGAGGUGGGUGGAUCACCUGAGGUCAGGAGUUCGAGACCAGCUUGGCCAACAUGGUGAAGCCCUGUCUCUACUAAAAAUAGAAAAAGUAGCUGGGUGUGGUGGUGUGUACCUGUAGUCCCAGCUACUUGGGAGGCUGAGGCAGGAGAAGUGCUUGAACCCAGGAGUUGGAGAUUGCAUUGAGCCAAGAUCAUGCCACUGUACUCCAGCCUGGGUGACAGAGUGAGACUCCAUCUCAAAAAAGAAGAAGAAGAAAAAAAAAGGUUAAAUGAGGUCAUAAUCCGAUAGGAGUAUAGACUUAGAAGAAGAGGAAGGGACCUCUCUUUGUCUCUCUCUGUCACAUAGUAAGAAGGUGGCUGGCUGGUUGCAAGCCACAAAAAAAGCCCUCACCAGAAAGUGACUAUCUUG
Molecule: long non-coding RNA, 1410 nt
Filed under: Homo sapiens (human)
Lineage: Eukaryota; Metazoa; Chordata; Mammalia; Primates; Hominidae
Description: HSALNT0351759
Source: RNAcentral